AGAGUUUGAUCAUGGCUCAGAUUGAACGCUGGCGGCAUGCCUAACACAUGCAAGUCGAACGGCAGCAUGAGGUGUAGCAAUACACCUUGAUGGCGAGUGGCGGACGGGUGAGGAAUGCAUCGGAAUCUGCCCAGUCGUGGGGGACAACGCAGGGAAACUUGCGCUAAUACCGCAUACGACCUUCGGGUGAAAGCAGGGGAUCUUCGGACCUUGCGCGAUUGGAUGAGCCGAUGCCGGAUUAGCUAGUUGGCGGGGUAAUGGCCCACCAAGGCGACGAUCCGUAGCUGGUCUGAGAGGAUGAUCAGCCACACUGGGACUGAGACACGGCCCAGACUCCUACGGGAGGCAGCAGUGGGGAAUAUUGGACAAUGGGGGCAACCCUGAUCCAGCAAUGCCGCGUGUGUGAAGAAGGCCUUCGGGUCGUAAAGCACUUUUAUCGGGAACGAAACAUUGUCGGCUAAUACCCGGCAAGACUGACGGUACCCGAGGAAUAAGCACCGGCUAACUCCGUGCCAGCAGCCGCGGUAAUAC
RNAcentral lists this ribosomal RNA (531 nucleotides) under uncultured bacterium. RNAcentral describes it as "bacterial SSU rRNA". It matches the Rfam family "Bacterial small subunit ribosomal RNA", at positions 8 to 526 of the family's 1533-position model. The record is from RNAcentral.